This 31-nucleotide non-coding RNA is filed under the name Rattus norvegicus (Norway rat). Lineage: Eukaryota; Metazoa; Chordata; Mammalia; Rodentia; Muridae. The record is from RNAcentral.
UGUGACACUGCCUCAAAAACUGUGCCCUAGA